Molecule: non-coding RNA, 1724 nt
Organism: Chlorocebus sabaeus (green monkey)
Lineage: Eukaryota; Metazoa; Chordata; Mammalia; Primates; Cercopithecidae
Source: the annotation of a RefSeq genome assembly
CUCAGUUCAUCUUCUCACAAUGAGGCUCCCUGUUCAGCUCCUGGGACUGUUGAUGCUCUGGGUCCCUGGAUCCAGUGGAGACGUUGUGAUGACCCAGACUCCACUCUCCCUGCCUGUCACCCCUGGAGAGCCAGCCUCUAUCUCCUGCAGGUCUAGUCAGAGCAUUCUGCAUAGUAAUGGAAACACCUAUUUGAAUUGGUACCUGCAGAAGCCAGGCCAGUCUCCACGGCUCCUGAUCUAUAAAGUUACCAAUCGGGAAUCUGGGGUCCCAGACAGGUUCAGUGGCAGUGGGUCAGGCACAGAUUUCACACUGAAAAUCAGCAGGGUGGAGCCUGAGGAUGUUGGUGUUUACUACUGCAUGCAAGGUACAAAGCUCCCUCACAGUGGUACAGCCCCGAACACAAACCUCUCUGCUGGGUGGCCCAGCUGCCCACAUGUGUUGUUUGUCGGGGGAGCAGGCACCAUAGAGGGCAAGACAGUAAAGAAUUCAGGGGGAUGAGUUGCAGGAAGCUGCUCCUGUGAGUCCUGGGGCUACACCUCAGGCCAAAUCUACAGGAGAAUGGUGGGGUCCAAGUGCUCACUGAGCAACCAGACAUGAUAAUGGAGAAAACUGAAUGAAAGUUCAUCUAAAUCCUCCUAGCCUUUCCUACAUCUAUUUUUCAACUAAAAGGAUUCAGUGUAACGACUUUUAAUUAAGGCUACUUCAUGUCAACCUAAGACUGAUUUUUUUUUGGAUUUUCUUUUGUUUGAAUAGUUACUGGUUAUAGACGCAGCCGGGUUUGUUUAGUAACAUAAAAACUGUUUCUCUUCUUCCCCCCACCUUCACACUUCUACAUUUUCUUAGCAUAUGUCUCUCUCCAGCAAAGGGGCAGGCAUAGCAUUUUACACCAAGAUUUCAGGAAUUACCCAUGUCAAACAAUGUACAUUCCUGUUUUUGGGCUACUAGGUUGACUUUGUUAAAUUCACUUAAAAACAAAAGUCACGUGUCCAAUGUGUUUGACCAGUCUCAGGCACAGCAGGUUGAAAUAAAAGGUGAGGAUUUUGAAUUGCAAAUCAAGGGUUUUAGAAAUAAAUAUUCAAGUUUGGAAGAAUUAGGCAGCAUGCGUGUUUUAUGCCAUAUCCAGCAGAAUUUUGAAAAAAAUUAGAUAACGCAUGGCAAUUUUUUGCCUAAUACAAAAUAAGAAUAUUAAGAUUUUGGACAGCAGCAGUGAAAGCAAGCAUGAAGGACAUGUAGCAGAGGUCAUCUGUUGGUGCAAACCCAGCUCUGUUGCUCAUGUUUGCUGGGGUCCCUAUGCUGGUGUGGUUGGAGUUGAACUACUAACCAAGAUGGAAACUUGUAAGUAUUUCUUGGAAAGAAUCAGGGUGUUGAAUAGACCCCUGCGUGCCCUUCAAGGCUGUGCCCGGAUGCCACUGCAAGUUCAUAGAGUCGCUGUGCUUAUUGUGGGGUUCUAGGAAUUUAGUGACUCAAGGGUUACAGACGUUCCUGUGCAAAAGUGAGGUUGGGUCAUAUCACCUAAGGACCUAAGGUUAGGUCAUGUCACACCUUCCCAGUCAACCCAGCAAGACAUAGGUGAGCUUCCAAAAAUUGAUUUCACGUAUGUCCUAUAUCUGGGGAUGAAACGAGAGAGAAUGGUCAUUCGGGAGAUACCUUAUAUCAAAUUAGUUAAAAUGUUAGCCAGGGCUGAGCUAUGGCUGGGAAGAUCAGUAGGAGAUGCAUGGUAGGA